Molecule: ribosomal RNA, 429 nt
Filed under: Pseudomonadota bacterium
Lineage: Bacteria; Pseudomonadati; Pseudomonadota
Description: Proteobacteria bacterium partial 16S ribosomal RNA
Rfam family: Bacterial small subunit ribosomal RNA
Source: RNAcentral
UGGGGAAUAUUGGACAAUGGGCGAAAGCCUGAUCCAGCCAUGCCGCGUGUGUGAAGAAGGUCUUCGGAUUGUAAAGCACUUUAAGUUGGGAGGAAGGGCAGUAAGCGAAUACCUUGCUGUUUUGACGUUACCGACAGAAUAAGCACCGGCUAACUCUGUGCCAGCAGCCGCGGUAAUACAGAGGGUGCAAGCGUUAAUCGGAAUUACUGGGCGUAAAGCGCGCGUAGGUGGUUCGUUAAGUUGAAUGUGAAAGCCCCGGGCUCAACCUGGGAACUGCAUCCAAAACUGCCGAGCUAGAGUAGGGCAGAGGGUGGUGGAAUUUCCUGUGUAGCGGUGAAAUGCGUAGAUAUAGGAAGGAACACCAGUGGCGAAGGCGACCACCUGGGCUCAUACUGACACUGAGGUGCGAAAGCGUGGGGAGCAAACAGG